Molecule: long non-coding RNA, 3282 nt
Organism: Salvator merianae (Argentine black and white tegu)
Lineage: Eukaryota; Metazoa; Chordata; Lepidosauria; Squamata; Teiidae
Source: Ensembl
AUGCCCACAGGCACGAUCAGGCCUUGGCCUGAUCAUGCAAGCGCAAUUAGCUAAAUAUGCCUGUGCACGCCUGCAUGCUCUGUGGGCCGGUCAGUCACCACGGCAGUGGCUGGUCACUUCCCAGUAGCUACCAUGGUGAGGAUUAGGCACGGCUACCAGCAUUUACCAUGAAUGCCCAUAGCUGGCCUCAGGUAAGGUUUCCAGGCAUGCAGGGCAAAAAGACCCUCUUACUCUGAAAGUGAACUGACGCUUCCUUAAACUUAAGUGUGAAUGCAUCCCUUCUCGGUCUGUCCCUAGCUAGCGCAGAGUCUUCUUGCCUGUUUGAACGCCCCGCCCUGCCAAUUAACGUCCCGCUGUUAUUAGCCAUCAUGUAGGAAUGUCUCCACCCCGCCCCCAACCUAUUACCACUAAAUUUUUCCCGCAGCUCAGCGUUUGAAAAUAUUUCACUCUGCAUUCGACCGAGCUGCGCGCGCGGUCGAUGAAUUCAGUUGGCCAGCCCGAAAAUCAUUAUUUCAUCUGCCAUCCAAGUUCCCUUAUCAAAUGCCAUCACCAUUUCGUAGCUAAUCUAGGUCCCAUGCAGCGCAGUACGUUUACACUAGGCAGAGUCAGUUUGGGGAAAUCUUUUGUUUUCGCCAGGAAAUCGCUGCUGCUCUGCUACUUUUUUGCCUGUUUGCUGCCUCCGGUUUCUAGUCCGGGGAGCACUGAAGGGCGGAGGGAAGGAAAUCCAUGCAACGAGAAGUUUCCUCCUGUGUGCGUGCGCUCUCUUUGUUUGCCUCAAGUUUGUCCUAUCAAAAAGAUGAGAUCAGAGAGGAACGUUUGUGCCGCCGCCUGCUGGUAGAUAUUUCCGCAACUUCAGUUAUCCCCCCAUCCGCAUCUUCCGCCAGCAGAGCGCGUUUCGGGUGCUGGGUGGAGCUUUUUAUGCUAGCACUAAUUUAAAGGGGGUCAGUGGUUACGUAGCAGCGAUUGGACUCAAGGAAAUAUGGAAAGGGAUUUCCCCCCACACCAUAGGCAGCAUUUUGGGAGACAAUUUGAGCCUCCUUUUCACCAGAAUAAUAGGUUAAAUGAAGACUUUUGGGAAGACAAGUGUUUUCCAGAAAUGCCACCUCCUGGAUGGAAUGAACCAUAUCCCAACCAACAUUGGGAGCGACCACCAUGGGAAUUUAACAACUUUGGAAAGGGCAACUUUCCUGAUCGGGGCCGUGGCUGGAAUUACCCCAGAGGAAAUUACCAUAAUAACCGUCCCUACAGAGGCCGUUACAGAGGAUUUAAAAGCAACUUCUCAAAAGGGAGAGGUCGAUACCAGAAGUCACCACGCCCCUCCUGCUUAGUUAAUAUGAUGCCAACUAAAAAGGAAAACAAUUCCACAAUGGUAGAAGCGCAGUCAGUGCCAACCAAGAUCACAGAAGGUCAGAAGGAUUCUACAGGAGAGAAGGAAGCUGAUUCAUCCAAGCAAGUCAAGAUGAAAGACAAGGUCUCUGAAGAUCCUCCCAGUCUCACUUCUCGAGAGCUUUCCACUGAAGAAUGUACAGAUAGCACAGAAACUUGUCCUACUAUACAAAAACAGGAGGCAUCUGUUGAGAUUCUGCAGGUGCCAGAAAUCAAACAGGAUGCGAGUCUUUCUGAUCUAACUGGUCCAUCAGCUGCAGUUGAACCUCAUGUUCCUCUUGACACUAAAGAAGCCACAACUUUCUUAGACAGCAUGGAAACAGAACAGAAAUCUCUGCAGUCUGAGCUGAAAGACAGCCCAGAUGCUGAAAACUCUCCCAGUGGGGCUGUAUUGAUUCCAUCUAUUGAAGCACCUAAAGAAGAACAAGUAUCAUUAGAGACCAUAGAAGACCUUCAUACCACAGGAGACAAAGAACCUAUGUUGGUGAAAGAUAGUCAGGCCCAAGAUCAGUCCUGCCAUUUUAACUCAUCUUUGACUGUAGACAUACCAUUCUUGUCUGAGAUUGCAGGUGAACAUCAGCACAAGGGAAAACAAAAUACUGUACAGAUCCAGACUGCAGACACCGAUAAGGUUGUAGACCAGCACCAAGCCUGCAUUGCCGUAGUCAUUCACCCUGCCAACCUGAGUGAUGUUUCUGUUGUUCCCAUGCUGGUGAGAGAGGAAAAAAGUGGAACGCAAUCAUCUCUCCAGGUUUAUCCCAGGGAUGCAACUUUUUUUCAUACUGGAAACCUCUGUAGUUGGGCCCCUGAAGGUUGCCAGGAACCAGUCCAGAGCGUGAGCCAUCCUGGCGAGUGUGAUAAAGACCUUGAACAAGGCACUGGUUUGUCUCCUGCUCCCAUAUCUUGUAAUUGGAAAUGUGAUGCUAGAAAACUCUUGGAAGGCUGCACUUGUUCACCAAGGAGUCAAUACAGCAGCGAUUCAAGGCACUCUAAUACAAAUCAAGCCCCAAGGGGCAUGCAUGUUCAAUGUUCAAGAUCACAGCAGCAAGAAUUGUCUCUUCAGCAGAGAGAGCAGCAUUCAGGAUCUCUUCUGAGGAAGAAAGAGGACAGUUUCUGGACAAACUGUAAUCAGUCUUGUCACAAUAAAUGUUACUGCAGUGUAUCCCAAGAGAAUUUCCAGGAGAAGGAUUCCUGUUCACGUUGUUUGCUUCGUAAAAUAAAUCACCACCAUUCCCGAAAAGAAAGGCACAAGCCCUACAGAAUGCCACAGCUGCUUUCUUCAAAGAAUGCUCUCAUGAAGAUGAGGAAGAGAAAAUUAACAUACCGUGAGAAAACUAAAAAGACAAUGCCAACUUCAGAUAAAGGAACACAGUCUGCUAAGCUUACGAAAAAAUCCAGGAAAGAGCAAGCAGAUAGAGCAUCUGUCCCAUCAGGUGCUGCAGAAAAGAUACAGCUGGUGAAAACAGAAGAGCCUGAGCUGGUUCAGAUGACAAAGAGCAGUGAGAAUGAACCUUCUGCUGGAAUAGCAACUGAUCUUGGAUUUGAACAAAAGAAACUCAGGGAACGUUCUGCUGUCAUACUGGCUACAAAGGAAAAGAUUGAACGGACCUAUCAGCAAGUCCUCCUGAACUUUGCAGCUGUGACCACCAUGUUACUGGAAACAGAUUCCAGCAUGGAGGCAUCCAUAGAGUCAGCAUUGCGAGCCAACCUGCGAAAGAUUGGAAAUUACUAUGAAUGCAUGCUGAAGAACUUUAUUGACAGUUAUGACUUAGCCAACGCCAGCUGAGAGAACAUAUAAUGGGAAAUCCAUCUAUUGCAAGAUGGAAUCAAUGGAAUGGGAAGCUAUGUGGGUUUUGGACUUGGCAAUAAAGGAGAGUCAUUGGGGGAAAGCUGUCA